RNAcentral lists this transfer RNA (87 nucleotides) under Candidatus Roizmanbacteria bacterium. RNAcentral describes it as "tRNA-Ser". It matches the Rfam family "tRNA". Rfam says of the family: Transfer RNA (tRNA) molecules are approximately 80 nucleotides in length. Their secondary structure includes four short double-helical elements and three loops (D, anti-codon, and T loops). Lineage: Bacteria; Candidatus Roizmaniibacteriota. The record is from RNAcentral.
GGUGGGGUGUCAGAGUGGCCUAAUGAGCUGGUCUUGAAAACCAGUAGAGCCGUAAGGUUCUCGCGAGUUCGAAUCUCGCCCCCACCG